GAUGAAGAACGCAGCGAAAUGCGAUAAGUAGUGUGAAUUGCAGAAUUCAGUGAAUCAUCGAAUCUUUGAACGCACAUUGCGCCCUUUGGUAUUCCAAAGGGCAUGCCUGUUCGAGCGUCAUUUGUACCCUCAAGCUUUGCUUGGUGUUGGGCGUCUUGUCUCCAGUCCGCUGGAGACUCGCCUUAAAGUCAUUGGCAGCCGGCCUACUGGUUUCGGAGCGCAGCACAAGUCGCACUCUUUUCCAGCCAAGGUCAGUGUCCAACAAGCCUUUUUUCAACUUUUGACCUCGGAUCAGGUAGGGAUACCCGCUGAACUUAAGCAUAUCAAUAAGCGGAGGA
This 338-nucleotide unclassified non-coding RNA is filed under the name soil metagenome. Its description in RNAcentral is "partial contains 5.8S ribosomal RNA, internal transcribed spacer 2, and large subunit ribosomal RNA". The stretch from base 1 to 120 matches the Rfam family "5.8S ribosomal RNA", at positions 35 to 154 of the family's 154-position model. The record is from RNAcentral.